RNAcentral lists this transfer RNA (75 nucleotides) under Thermoprotei archaeon. Its description in RNAcentral is "tRNA-Glu". It matches the Rfam family "tRNA". Rfam says of the family: Transfer RNA (tRNA) molecules are approximately 80 nucleotides in length. Their secondary structure includes four short double-helical elements and three loops (D, anti-codon, and T loops). RNAcentral also lists the same sequence under 1 other name. The record is from RNAcentral. Lineage: Archaea; Thermoproteati; Thermoproteota; Thermoprotei.
GCCUCGGUAGUAUAGUCCGGUCAAGUAUGGCGGCCUCUCGAGCCGCGAACCCGAGUUCAAAUCUCGGCCGAGGCA